This 534-nucleotide ribosomal RNA is filed under the name uncultured Acidobacteriota bacterium. Its description in RNAcentral is "bacterial SSU rRNA". It matches the Rfam family "Bacterial small subunit ribosomal RNA", at positions 355 to 897 of the family's 1533-position model. The record is from RNAcentral. Lineage: Bacteria; Pseudomonadati; Acidobacteriota.
UGGGGAAUUUUUCGCAAUGGGGGCAACCCUGACGAAGCAACGCCGCGUGGGUGAUGAAGUAUUUCGGUACGUAAAACCCUUUCGACGGGGACGAAACCGCAAGGUUGACGGUACCCGUAGAAGAAGCCCCGGCUAACUCCGUGCCAGCAGCCGCGGUAAUACGGGGGGGGCAAGCGUUGUUCGGAAUUACUGGGCGUAAAGGGCGCGUAGGCGGUUUGCUAAGUUGGAUGUGAAAACUCUGGGCUUAACCCAGAGCCUGCAUCCAAAACUGGCAAACUUGAGUACUGGAGGGGAAAGCGGAAUUCCUGGUGUAGCGGUGAAAUGCGUAGAUAUCAGGAGGAACACCGGUGGCGAAGGCGGCUUUCUGGACAGUAACUGACGCUGAGGCGCGAAAGCUAGGGGAGCAAACAGGAUUAGAUACCCUGGUAGUCCUAGCCCUAAACGAUGGAUACUUGGUGUGAGGGGGAUUGAAUCCCUUCGUGCCGUAGCUAACGCAAUAAGUAUCCCGCCUGGGGAGUACGGUCGCAAGGCUGA